GCCCUUGUAGCCCAAUUGGAAGAGGUAACUCGCUUAGAACGAGAAGGUUACUGGUUCAAAUCCAGUCAGGGGCA
This is a transfer RNA of Oscillatoriales cyanobacterium, 74 nucleotides long. It matches the Rfam family "tRNA". From Rfam's summary of the family: Transfer RNA (tRNA) molecules are approximately 80 nucleotides in length. Their secondary structure includes four short double-helical elements and three loops (D, anti-codon, and T loops). NCBI's taxonomy places the organism in Bacteria, Bacillati, Cyanobacteriota, Cyanophyceae, Oscillatoriales. The record is from Rfam.